This 301-nucleotide ribosomal RNA is filed under the name uncultured bacterium. RNAcentral's name for it is "partial 16S ribosomal RNA". It matches the Rfam family "Bacterial small subunit ribosomal RNA", at positions 509 to 807 of the family's 1533-position model. The record is from RNAcentral.
CAGUCGCCACGGUAAUACGAAGGGUGCAAGCGUUACUCGGAAUUACUGGGCGUAAAGCGUGCGUAGGUGGUGGUUUAAGUCCGUUGUGAAAGCCCUGGGCUCAACCUGGGAAUUGCAGUGGAUACUGGGUCACUAGAGCGUGGUAGAGGAUAGUGGAAUUUCCGGUGUAGCAGUGAAAUGCGUAGAGAUCGGAAGGAACAUCUGUGGCGAAGGCGACUAUCUGGGCCAACACUGACACUGAGGCACGAAAGCGUGGGGAGCAAACAGGAUUAGAUACCCCCGUAGUCCCUGUCUCUUAUAC